GAUGAACCACUUCGGUGGGGAUUAGUGGCGAACGGGUGAGUAACACGUGGGCAAUCUGCCCUGCACUCUGGGACAAGCCCUGGAAACGGGGUCUAAUACCGGAUACUGACCACUACAGGCAUCUGUGGUGGUGGAAAGCUCCGGCGGUGCAGGAUGAGCCCGCGGCCUAUCAGCUUGUUGGUGAGGUAACGGCUCACCAAGGCGACGACGGGUAGCCGGCCUGAGAGGGCGACCGGCCACACUGGGACUGAGACACGGCCCAGACUCCUACGGGAGGCAGCAGUGGGGAAUAUUGCACAAUGGGCGCAAGCCUGAUGCAGCGACGCCGCGUGAGGGAUGACGGCCUUCGGGUUGUAAACCUCUUUCAGCAGGGAAGAAGCGAAAGUGACGGUACCUGCAGAAGAAGCGCCGGCUAACUACGUGCCAGCAGCCGCGGUAAUACGUAGGGCGCGAGCGUUGUCCGGAAUUAUUGGGCGUAAAGAGCUCGUAGGCGGCUUGUCGCGUCGGUUGUGAAAGCCCGGGGCUUAACCCCGGGUCUGCAGUCGAUACGGGCAGGCUAGAGUUCGGUAGGGGAGAUCGGAAUUCCUGGUGUAGCGGUGAAAUGCGCAGAUAUCAGGAGGAACACCGGUGGCGAAGGCGGAUCUCUGGGCCGAUACUGACGCUGAGGAGCGAAAGCGUGGGGAGCGAACAGGAUUAGAUACCCUGGUAGUCCACGCCGUAAACGGUGGGCACUAGGUGUGGGCAACAUUCCACGUUGUCCGUGCCGCAGCUAACGCAUUAAGUGCCCCGCCUGGGGAGUAC
This 801-nucleotide ribosomal RNA is filed under the name Streptomyces sp. RNAcentral describes it as "bacterial SSU rRNA". It matches the Rfam family "Bacterial small subunit ribosomal RNA", at positions 68 to 883 of the family's 1533-position model. The record is from RNAcentral. Lineage: Bacteria; Bacillati; Actinomycetota; Actinomycetes; Kitasatosporales; Streptomycetaceae.